AGUGCAAACAGUUUCAAUGGCAACAGAAUUGGUGGGAACAGCUUUGACAACAAUGCGAACAGCUUUGCAGCUAAUCCAGGGAGUGCCAACAGUUUUAAUGGCAAUGCAAUUGGUGGCAACAGCUUCAACAACAAUGCUAACAGCUUUGCAGCUGAUCCAGGAAGUGUGGACAGUUUUAAUGGCAAUGCCAUUGGUGGUAACAGCUUUGAUGGCAAUCAGAACAGCUUUGCAGCAGCUCCAGGGAAUAUUGGCAGCUUUAAUGGUAACUCAGGGGGUGAUGACAGCUUCAACAACAAUGGCAAUACAAAUGAUGAACCUAUCAUAUUCUAUUAAAUGGCCACAGAAGUCCAGACACUCUCCAACCAAUGCCAUUCAGCAUUUUUUCGAUCAUUUCAUCUUGAAUGACCAUUGAAGGAAACUACCCUGACAUCACUACAGAUCCCCCCGUCCCCCUUACAAAUAAAUAAACCAAUAAUAUAUUCAAGCUAUAAG
RNAcentral lists this long non-coding RNA (492 nucleotides) under Anolis carolinensis (green anole). Its description in RNAcentral is "lncRNA (ENSACAG00000034168.2)". Lineage: Eukaryota; Metazoa; Chordata; Lepidosauria; Squamata; Anolidae. The record is from RNAcentral.